UACUCUUGUCCGUACUCUUAUUUAGCGUUUUGGGCCGUAAAGGAUUAAGCUUAAUCUUUUUACCCUGGAAUACAAAGGAGCAAGAGUUAGUUCGACCGUAGAUGGUGACAUCGAGAUCGAACAACCAAGAACUACCUAAUAUCAGAUGACCUACGUCCAUUGGGAGUACGUCACACCAGACAGUGUCUUUAUAAGAGAGGAUUUGAAUAGGUACAAGACACCGUUCCUUAAUGUGAAUGGACGACGUGUCGAUCCAGGAGACCUUAUAAGGUUGAGGUUGGGACACAGGAGUCAGACCCAAGCGGGCGACAAUGCUGGAAGAUAUCGCAUUAAUGCAGCUCCCGCUAUCAAUGAUAACUUUACAAUCUUUUUUGCCGCAUUUAAUGUAAGUGUGGAAAAUUGAGGUUCGUCUCCAGUCAUCAGUCUCUUUAGGCUGGGUAAUUGCACACCUUACUACAUU
This 460-nucleotide long non-coding RNA is filed under the name Phoenix dactylifera (date palm). RNAcentral's name for it is "long non-coding RNA (PDAC_LNC000681)". Lineage: Eukaryota; Viridiplantae; Streptophyta; Magnoliopsida; Arecales; Arecaceae. The record is from RNAcentral.